Non-coding RNA from Collariella sp. IMI 366227, 116 nucleotides. The record is from the annotation of a GenBank genome assembly. Lineage: Eukaryota; Fungi; Ascomycota; Sordariomycetes; Sordariales; Chaetomiaceae.
GGGCGUGUGGCUCAGUUGGUAGAGCGUUCGCUUAGCAUAAUUCCCUGGUCCGAUCUUGAUGAGAGAGAAGACUGACGGUUAUGCGAAAGGUCCUGGUUCGAUUCCCAGCUCGUCCA